GGCAAUUCAAGCAUUUUUCUAGUUUCAUGACAAUUACUUGUGUGUAAGUGUAUGGAUCUUUAUGAAAUUGUACUACAAGGUUCCAUAUCACAAAGGGGAAGCUGGCAUUGAGUUUGGGGGUAAUUGCCGAAACGUUUAGGAAUUGGGGGCCAAAAAGGGGCCAUAAAUAAGCAUUUUUCUAGUUUCCAGACAAUAACUUGUGUUCAAGUGUAUGGAUCUCUCUGAAAUUGUACUGCAAGGUACCAUACCACAAAGGGAAGGCUGGGAUUGAUUUUUGGGGUAAUUCCCUCAAAAUUUUAGUAAUUAGGGGCCAUAAAA
Mytilus californianus (California mussel) is the source of this 318-nucleotide long non-coding RNA. RefSeq lists it as uncharacterized. The record is from RefSeq and is a predicted model, not a curated record. NCBI's taxonomy places the organism in Eukaryota, Metazoa, Mollusca, Bivalvia, Mytilida, Mytilidae. The transcript is spliced from 2 exons.